UUAAGCGACUAAGCGUACACGGUGGAUGCCCUGGCAGUCAGAGGCGAUGAAGGACGUGCUAAUCUGCGAUAAGCGUCGGUAAGGUGAUAUGAACCGUUAUAACCGGCGAUUUCCGAAUGGGGAAACCCAGUGUGUUUCGACACACUAUCAUUAACUGAAUCCAUAGGUUAAUGAGGCGAACCGGGGGAACUGAAACAUCUAAGUACCCCGAGGAAAAGAAAUCAACCGAGAUUCCCCCAGUAGCGGCGAGCGAACGGGGAGCAGCCCAGAGCCUGAAUCAGURUGUGUGUUAGUGGAAGCGUCUGGAAAGGCGYGCGAUACAGGGUGACAGCCCCGUACACAAAAAUGCACAURYUGUGAGCUCGAUGAGUAGGGCGGGACACGUGGUAUCCUGUCUGAAUAUGGGGGGACCAUCCUCCAAGGCUAAAUACUCCUGACUGACCGAUAGUGAACCAGUACCGUGAGGGAAAGGCGAAAAGAACCCCGGCGAGGGGAGUGAAAAAGAACCUGAAACCGUGUACGUACAAGCAGUGGGAGCACGCUUAGGCGUGUGACUGCGUACCUUUUGUAUAAUGGGUCAGCGACUUAUAUUCUGUAGCAAGGUUAACCGAAUAGGGGAGCCGAAGGGAAACCGAGUCUUAACUGGGCGUUAAGUUGCAGGGUAUAGACCCGAAACCCGGUGAUCUAGCCAUGGGCAGGUUGAAGGUUGGGUAACACUAACUGGAGGACCGAACCGACUAAUGUUGAAAAAUUAGCGGAUGACUUGUGGCUGGGGGUGAAAGGCCAAUCAAACCGGGAGAUAGCUGGUUCUCCCCGAAAGCUAUUUAGGUAGCGCCUCGUGAAUUCAUCUCCGGGGGUAGAGCACUGUUUCGGCAAGGGGGUCAUCCCGACUUACCAACCCGAUGCAAACUGCGAAUACCGGAGAAUGUUAUCACGGGAGACACACGGCGGGUGCUAACGUCCGUCGUGAAGAGGGAAACAACCCAGACCGCCAGCUAAGGUCCCAAAGUCAUGGUUAAGUGGGAAACGAUGUGGGAAGGCCCAGACAGCCAGGAUGUUGGCUUAGAAGCAGCCAUCAUUUAAAGAAAGCGUAAUAGCUCACUGGUCGAGUCGGCCUGCGCGGAAGAUGUAACGGGGCUAAACCAUGCACCGAAGCUGCGGCAGCGACGCUGAUGCGUUGUUGGGUAGGGGAGCGUUCUGUAAGCCUGCGAAGGUGUGCUGUGAGGCAUGCUGGAGGUAUCAGAAGUGCGAAUGCUGACAUAAGUAACGAUAAAGCGGGUGAAAAGCCCGCUCGCCGGAAGACCAAGGGUUCCUGUCCAACGUUAAUCGGGGCAGGGUGAGUCGACCCCUAAGGCGAGGCCGAAAGGCGUAGUCGAUGGGAAACAGGUUAAUAUUCCUGUACUUGGUGUUACUGCGAAGGGGGGACGGAGAAGGCUAUGUUGGCCGGGCGACGGUUGUCCCGGUUUAAGCGUGUAGGCUGGUUUUCCAGGCAAAUCCGGAAAAUCAAGGCUGAGGCGUGAUGACGAGGCACUACGGUGCUGAAGCAACAAAUGCCCUGCUUCCAGGAAAAGCCUCUAAGCAUCAGGUAACAUCAAAUCGUACCCCAAACCGACACAGGUGGUCAGGUAGAGAAUACCAAGGCGCUUGAGAGAACUCGGGUGAAGGAACUAGGCAAAAUGGUGCCGUAACUUCGGGAGAAGGCACGCUGAUAUGUAGGUGAAGUCCCUCGCGGAUGGAGCUGAAAUCAGUCGAAGAUACCAGCUGGCUGCAACUGUUUAUUAAAAACACAGCACUGUGCAAACACGAAAGUGGACGUAUACGGUGUGACGCCUGCCCGGUGCCGGAAGGUUAAUUGAUGGGGUYAGCCGCAAGGCGAAGCUCUUGAUCGAAGCCCCGGUAAACGGCGGCCGUAACUAUAACGGUCCUAAGGUAGCGAAAUUCCUUGUCGGGUAAGUUCCGACCUGCACGAAUGGCGUAAUGAUGGCCAGGCUGUCUCCACCCGAGACUCAGUGAAAUUGAACUCGCUGUGAAGAUGCAGUGUACCCGCGGCAAGACGGAAAGACCCCGUGAACCUUUACUAUAGCUUGACACUGAACAUUGAGCCUUGAUGUGUAGGAUAGGUGGGAGGCUUKGAAGUGUGGACGCCAGUCUGCAUGGAGCCGACCUUGAAAUACCACCCUUUAAUGUUUGAUGUUCUAACGUKGACCCGURAUCCGGGUUGCGGACAGUGUCUGGUGGGUAGUUUGACUGGGGCGGUCUCCUCCUAAAGAGUAACGGAGGAGCACGAAGGUUGGCUAAUCCUGGUCGGACAUCAGGAGGUUAGUGCAAUGGCAUAAGCCAGCUUGACUGCGAGCGUGACGGCGCGAGCAGGUGCGAAAGCAGGUCAUAGUGAUCCGGUGGUUCUGAAUGGAAGGGCCAUCGCUCAACGGAUAAAAGGUACUCCGGGGAUAACAGGCUGAUACCGCCCAAGAGUUCAUAUCGACGGCGGUGUUUGGCACCUCGAUGUCGGCUCAUCACAUCCUGGGGCUGAAGUAGGUCCCAAGGGUAUGGCUGUUCGCCAUUUAAAGUGGUACGCGAGCUGGGUUUAGAACGUCGUGAGACAGUUCGGUCCCUAUCUGCCGUGGGCGCUGGAGAACUGAGGGGGGCUGCUCCUAGUACGAGAGGACCGGAGUGGACGCAUCACUGGUGUUCGGGUUGUCAUGCCAAUGGCACUGCCCGGUAGCUAAAUGCGGAAGAGAUAAGUGCUGAAAGCAUCUAAGCACGAAACUUGCCCCGAGAUGAGUUCUCCCUGACCCUUUAAGGGUCCUGAAGGAACGUUGAAGACGACGACGUUGAUAGGCCGGGUGUGUAAGCGCAGCGAUGCGUUGAGCUAACCGGUACUAAUGAACCGUGAGGCUUAACCUU
RNAcentral lists this ribosomal RNA (2904 nucleotides) under Escherichia coli. Its description in RNAcentral is "bacterial LSU rRNA". Lineage: Bacteria; Pseudomonadati; Pseudomonadota; Gammaproteobacteria; Enterobacterales; Enterobacteriaceae. The record is from RNAcentral.